RNAcentral lists this ribosomal RNA (2634 nucleotides) under Streptococcus pneumoniae. Its description in RNAcentral is "bacterial LSU rRNA". The stretch from base 886 to 2634 matches the Rfam family "Bacterial large subunit ribosomal RNA". Lineage: Bacteria; Bacillati; Bacillota; Bacilli; Lactobacillales; Streptococcaceae. The record is from RNAcentral.
UUAGGGAGUUUAGCUCAGCUGGGAGAGCAUCUGCCUUACAAGCAGAGGGUCAGCGGUUCGAUCCCGUUAACUCCCAAAGGUCCCGUAGUGUAGCGGUUAUCACGUCGCCCUGUCACGGCGAAGAUCGCGGGUUCGAUUCCCGUCGGGACCGUUUAAGGUAACGCAAGUUAUUUUAGACUCGUUAGCUCAGUUGGUAGAGCAAUUGACUUUUAAUCAAUGGGUCACUGGUUCGAGCCCAGUACGGGUCAUAUAUGCGGGUUUGGCGGAAUUGGCAGACGCACCAGAUUUAGGAUCUGGCGCUUAACGGCGUGGGGGUUCAAGUCCCUUAACCCGCAUUAAGAUAUAACAAAUGAGCCGGCUUAGCUCAGUUGGUAGAGCAUCUGAUUUGUAAUCAGAGGGUCGCGUGUUCAAGUCAUGUAGCCGGCAUUUUUAGAUAGAAGAAAACAGUGCGAACGUAGUUCAGUGGUAGAACACCACCUUGCCAAGGUGGGGGUCGCGGGUUCGAAUCCCGUCGUUCGCUUAGAGAGGCCGGGGUGGCGGAACUGGCAGACGCACAGGACUUAAAAUCCUGCGAUUGGUAACGAUCGUACCGGUUCGAUUCCGGUCCUCGGCAUAAUAUGGAGCACCCUUAGCUCAACUGGAUAGAGUACCUGACUACGAAUCAGGCGGUUAGAGGUUCGACUCCUCUAGGGUGCAUUUUUCUAUUUAACUCGGGAAGUAGCUCAGCUUGGUAGAGUACUUGGUUUGGGACCAAGGUGUCGCAGGUUCGAAUCCUGUCUUCCCGAUUCAUGGCGGUGUAGCUCAGCUGGCUAGAGCGUCCGGUUCAUACCCGGGAGGUCGGGGGUUCGAUCCCCUUCGCCGCUAUAAUGAUCUUGUCGGACCUUUAGCUCAGCUGGUUAGAGCUCUCGGCUCAUAACCGAGUGGUCGUAGGUUCAAGUCCUACAAGGUCCAUUUGAAUAUUGGAGGAUUACCCAAGUCCGGCUGAAGGGAACGGUCUUGAAAACCGUCAGGCGUGUAAAAGCGUGCGUGGGUUCGAAUCCCACAUCCUCCUUUUAUAUUAUUAACGCGGGAUGGAGCAGCUCGGUAGCUCGUCGGGCUCAUAACCCGAAGGUCGUAGGUUCAAAUCCUGCUCCCGCAAUAAGGCUCGGUAGCUCAGUUGGUAGAGCAAUGGAUUGAAGCUCCAUGUGUCGGCGGUUCGAUUCCGUCUCGCGCCAUUUNGAGUCUGUCUAAGCAGUGAGGUGUGAAUUGAGUCAAAUGCUUAAUUCUAUAACAUUGAGCUGUGAUGGGGAGCGAAGUUUAGUAGCGAAGUUAGUGACGUCACACUGCCAAGAAAAGCUUCUAGCGUUUAAACAUACUCUACCCGUACCGCAAACCGACACAGGUAGUCGAGGCGAGUAGCCUCAGGUGAGCGAGAGAACUCUCGUUAAGGAACUCGGCAAAAUGACCCCGUAACUUCGGGAGAAGGGGUGCUGACUUAAAGUCAGCCGCAGUGAAUAGGCCCAAGCAACUGUUUAUCAAAAACACAGCUCUCUGCUAAAUCGUAAGAUGAUGUAUAGGGGGUGACGCCUGCCCGGUGCUGGAAGGUUAAGAGGAGUGCUUAGCGUAAGCGAAGGUAUGAAUUGAAGCCCCAGUAAACGGCGGCCGUAACUAUAACGGUCCUAAGGUAGCGAAAUUCCUUGUCGGGUAAGUUCCGACCCGCACGAAAGGCGUAAUGAUUUGGGCACUGUCUCAACGAGAGACUCGGUGAAAUUUUAGUACCUGUGAAGAUGCAGGUUACCCGCGACAGGACGGAAAGACCCCAUGGAGCUUUACUGCAGUUUGAUAUUGAGUGUCUGUACCACAUGUACAGGAUAGGUAGGAGUCUAAGAGAUCGGGACGCCAGUUUCGAAGGAGACGCUGUUGGGAUACUACCCUUGUGUUAUGGCCACUCUAACCCAGAUAGGUGAUCCCUAUCGGAGACAGUGUCUGACGGGCAGUUUGACUGGGGCGGUCGCCUCCUAAAAGGUAACGGAGGCGCCCAAAGGUUCCCUCAGAAUGGUUGGAAAUCAUUCGCAGAGUGUAAAGGUAUAAGGGAGCUUGACUGCGAGAGCUACAACUCGAGCAGGGACGAAAGUCGGGCUUAGUGAUCCGGUGGUUCCGUAUGGAAGGGCCAUCGCUCAACGGAUAAAAGCUACCCUGGGGAUAACAGGCUUAUCUCCCCCAAGAGUUCACAUCGACGGGGAGGUUUGGCACCUCGAUGUCGGCUCGUCGCAUCCUGGGGCUGUAGUCGGUCCCAAGGGUUGGGCUGUUCGCCCAUUAAAGCGGCACGCGAGCUGGGUUCAGAACGUCGUGAGACAGUUCGGUCCCUAUCCGUCGCGGGCGUAGGAAAUUUGAGAGGAUCUGCUCCUAGUACGAGAGGACCAGAGUGGACUUACCGCUGGUGUACCAGUUGUCUUGCCAAAGGCAUCGCUGGGUAGCUAUGUAGGGAAGGGAUAAACGCUGAAAGCAUCUAAGUGUGAAACCCACCUCAAGAUGAGAUUUCCCAUGAUUAUAUAUCAGUAAGAGCCCUGAGAGAUGAUCAGGUAGAUAGGUUAGAAGUGGAAGUGUGGCGACACAUGUAGCGGACUAAUACUAAUAGCUCGAGGACUUAUCCAA